UUUUGUUGUUGAACAACACAGCUCUUUAAUUUGUAUAAACUCUCCAAUGUAACUGUUGAGUUUUCUAACUAUUAGGUAUGCUAUAUAUUUGUUUUAUCUUCUUCUUUUGGUGAGAUUUCAGAAAAAGGCAUUGAACCCCAUGCUUUCCAUCACACACGGUCCUUUGAAUUUCCACAUGAAUUUAAAUGUUCUUCAUGCAAGAAAAUACUGCUAUGGAGUCCUCUGCAGUAGGAACAUUUCCAACCUUGAAUGAAACCAAACUAUCCAUCAGAGAAAAGACUAAUUAAAAU
Molecule: long non-coding RNA, 290 nt
Organism: Homo sapiens (human)
Lineage: Eukaryota; Metazoa; Chordata; Mammalia; Primates; Hominidae
Exons: 3
Source: RefSeq, a predicted model, not a curated record